ACGAACGCUGGCGGCGUGCCUAAUACAUGCAAGUAGAACGCUGAAGGAGGAGCUUGCUUCUCCGGAUGAGUUGCGAACGGGUGAGUAACGCGUAGGUAACCUGCCUGGUAGCGGGGGAUAACUAUUGGAAACGAUAGCUAAUACCGCAUAACAGUAGAUAUUGCAUGAUAUCUGCUUGAAAGGUGCAAUUGCAUCACUACCAGAUGGACCUGCGUUGUAUUAGCUAGUUGGUGGGGUAACGGCUCACCAAGGCGACGAUACAUAGCCGACCUGAGAGGGUGAUCGGCCACACUGGGACUGAGACACGGCCCAGACUCCUACGGGAGGCAGCAGUAGGGAAUCUUCGGCAAUGGACGGAAGUCUGACCGAGCAACGCCGCGUGAGUGAAGAAGGUUUUCGGAUCGUAAAGCUCUGUUGUAAGAGAAGAACGAGUGUGAGAGUGGAAAGUUCACACUGUGACGGUAUCUUACCAGAAAGGGACGGCUAACUACGUG
RNAcentral lists this ribosomal RNA (494 nucleotides) under uncultured bacterium. RNAcentral's name for it is "partial 16S ribosomal RNA". It matches the Rfam family "Bacterial small subunit ribosomal RNA", at positions 29 to 507 of the family's 1533-position model. The record is from RNAcentral.